This 275-nucleotide unclassified non-coding RNA is filed under the name Hevea brasiliensis (rubber tree). Lineage: Eukaryota; Viridiplantae; Streptophyta; Magnoliopsida; Malpighiales; Euphorbiaceae. The record is from RNAcentral.
GGUUGUUGCAAUUAAUUGUUCUACUCUACCAUUUGUCCUCAUAAAAGUUGAAAUUUGAUAGGGAGUUUGAUUUUGUAGAUUCUAAUUUUGAGUUAAGACCAAUUCAAAGGUGAUAUCCUUCAUUCUCUCUCAUCACAAGACACUAGCUAUAAACAAAAAGACAUUCUCUCCUCUCUCUGCAAAUAUAAGCACAUGCCCGAGCUAAGAACAAUUAACCAGCUACCAACCAAUUGAGCUAAGAACAAUUAACCACCUACCAACCAAUUAAUCAUUUG